Molecule: long non-coding RNA, 2129 nt
Organism: Macaca fascicularis (crab-eating macaque)
Lineage: Eukaryota; Metazoa; Chordata; Mammalia; Primates; Cercopithecidae
Source: Ensembl
AUCACACCCCUGGGAGGUGGGAAUUACCAUCGAUUAUUACCCACAUGUUACAGACCAGGAAGCUCGGAGAGGUCAGGAGACCCAGCCAAGGUCACACUGCUAGGCAGUGGAGAAGCUGGGACUGAACGCCUCAUCACACGGUCUGGCUACCUCCUCCCGCCACCACAUUCUUUGUCAGAGGCCAGUGACUCAUGGGCAGAGCGGCCCCAGCCUCAAAAUCUCAGUGCCUGAAAUAUCACCAUCAUUGCCCGAUUUCUUUGGCCGAAGGCUACUCUUUUAUGAAUACCGCCUCCCACUGGGGAGAACCCACUGUGUGCCUGAACUCUUCUGUGGGAAGGAGUUUGAGAUCCUUUCCCAAAACUAGGGAGACGCUUCCGCUUCUACAAGGGAGGGGCACAGGUACGUCAGGGGAAAAGCAGCUGGUGUGGGGCACAGAGAAGGGAAAUGGCGUUAUUAAGGGUUUAUUUUGUGCCAGGCAAUUUUAUAAACAUCUCGUUGCAUCCAGCAGGAAUUGUUAUCCCCACUUUACAGAUGAGGGUUGGGGAAACCGAGUCUCCAGUGCUGUGAGCCACUGGACACAGUGUGCUGGUUAACGUGCAGCUGGGUGUCUUAUUGGGGGCUGACGAGGGGAAAAGGGCAGCCCUGGGGAAGCUCCAGGUCCCUCGGGAAGAGCUCAGGGUAGGUGCCAGCAGCCAGGGCACUGGGAGGGCUUGAUAUCCUGUGAGUACUCUGGUCCUCCUUCUUCUUCCUGAAGGCUGUCCUGGCUGUGGACUGAGAGUGGCCAGAGGGGAGCAGAGGCAGCUUCUCACAGAGGUCACCAGGCUGGAGUGGAGCCGCUGCUGCCAACCGUGCCUGCAACCCGUGGCCUGAACACCUUCCAGGUCUCCGCAGGGCCUCACCCACCCUGCCAGCUCCGGGCAGCUGCUGCUUUGGACGACUCUGGGGCAGCCAGGAAAAAUUCCUCACCCGACCCCUAGCCAGAGAUGAGAGGUGUCCAGGCCUCAGAACCGCUGCCCCGCCUCCCCACCACCGGCCACUAAGCACCCCGUGUGCCAGGAUGUGUGCCAAGGGCUCUGUGUGCUGUGUCAUCUCAGCGACUCCUCCCUCUGCCCUGUCCAAGGAACAGGUGACAACACCUGUUCGGAGAGUUAAUUCAACUUUCUCAAGGUCACCGCUAAGCCAGCCAGUGGCACCAGAGUGAAAAUGUGAAUUCAGGCUGGGUCUGGAAACCCUCUCUAAACUGCUGAAUUCCAUGUCAGGGACUCUGGCCUCGUGAGAAGCAGUGACCCUUUCCAUGCCAGUGUCCUGAACUUUUCGGGGUCGCUCUCAGGUGAGAACAGCUUCAUGGGAGCCUCUAGGAGCCAAGCCUUGUGCUGGGCUCAGGGUAAAACAGUGACAAAGGAGGACGACAUCCCUGCUUCAGAGGGUCCUACAGUCAGGUGGGGCAGACAAGGCAUGAAUCAAGCAACCCCAGAGAGACCAGGUGGCAUUCAAGGCUCAAGGCUCGCUCUGAGGGAAAGGGAUGAGCAUUGGUGACAACCCAAUGAAUGAAGCAGCGUGGACUGGCCCCGGGGUCAGGGAGGGCUAGGGUUGACAUCAGAUCCCCAAGGUGUCCAUAGAGAGAGGCCAGCAGCUGAGGUAAGGGAGGAGAGAGCACUGGGCAGAAAGGACUGUGUGUGCAAAGGCCUUCGGUGAUGGGGGCAGGGUGCGGAGGGCUUGGGGAACCAGGUCAGAGUGGCUGGAGACGUAGGCAUGAGAUGAGGCUAUGAUGGAACGUGGUGAUGAUGGCGGGCCUGAUUCUAAAAAUAGUGGAAUUUAUUGGCAAUUGGCCAGGCGCGGUGGCUCACGCCUGUAAUCUCGGCACUUUGGAGGCCGAGGCGGGUGUAUCAUCUGAGGUCAGGAGUUCAAGACCAGCUUGGCCAACAUGGUGAAACCCCAUCUCUACUAAAAAAUACAAAAACAUUAGCCGGGCAUGGUGGCAGGAGACUGUAAUCCCCGCUACUUUGGGAGGCUGAGGCAGGAGAAUCGCUUGAAACAGAGACAGAGGUUGCAGUGAGCUGAGAUUGUGCCACUGCACCUCAGCCUGGGCAACAGAGCAGGACUCCAUCUCAAAAAAAGAAAAAGAAAAA